UGAGGAAUAUUGGUCAAUGGACGCAAGUCUGAACCAGCCAAGUAGCGUGCAGGAUGACGGCCCUAUGGGUUGUAAACUGCUUUUAUAUGGGGAUAAAGUGGGGAACGUGUUCCCUUUUGCAGGUACCAUAUGAAUAAGGACCGGCUAAUUCCGUUCCAGCAGCCGCGGUAAUACGGAAGGUUCGGGCGUUAUCCGGAUUUAUUGGGUUUAAAGGGAGCGUAGGCCGUUUGGUAAGCGUGUUGUGAAAUGUAGGAGCUCAACUUCUAGAUUGCAGCGCGAACUGUCAGACUUGAGUGCGCACAACGUAGGCGGAAUUCAUGGUGUAGCGGUGAAAUGCUUAGAUAUCAUGAAGAACUCCGAUUGCGAAGGCAGCUUACGGGAGCGCAACUGACGCUGAAGCUCGAAGGUGCGGGUAUCGAACAGG
This 424-nucleotide ribosomal RNA is filed under the name Verrucomicrobiota bacterium. RNAcentral's name for it is "Verrucomicrobia bacterium partial 16S ribosomal RNA". It matches the Rfam family "Bacterial small subunit ribosomal RNA", at positions 355 to 776 of the family's 1533-position model. Lineage: Bacteria; Pseudomonadati; Verrucomicrobiota. The record is from RNAcentral.